UACAGAGGGGGCAAGCGUUAUUCGGAAUUACUGGGCGUAAAGCGCGUGUAGGCGGCCCUGCAAGUCGGAUGUGAAAUCCCACGGCUCAACCGUGGAAGUGCAUUCGAAACUGCAGGGCUAGAGUCCUGGAGAGGAAGGUGGAAUGCUUGGUGUAGAGGUGAAAUUCGUAGAUAUCAAGCGGAACACCGGUGGCGAAGGCGGCCUUCCGGACAGUGACUGACGCUGAGACGCGAAAGCGUGGGGAGCAAACAGG
This 253-nucleotide ribosomal RNA is filed under the name uncultured bacterium. RNAcentral's name for it is "partial 16S ribosomal RNA". It matches the Rfam family "Bacterial small subunit ribosomal RNA", at positions 524 to 776 of the family's 1533-position model. The record is from RNAcentral.